UAUGAAUAAUUAGUAUCUCAAAAUAUUAAAUUAAAACUCUAGCCCAAAUUCUACACUAGACCAUGGAGCAUCUAAGAUAAUUACAAAAGACAUCAUAUGAAUAAAUGAUAAAGACUCUUUUGGCAGCCUCCACGAACAAUGCGGCGGCUCACCUCAAUAACCGAAUCAACUCUAGCGAACUCGUCAGCUAUUAGCUUCUUCUUCACCAAUAGUAUCUGCAUACACAUGCAGGUAAGGAGUGAGUUAUACGUAAAUAUAACCUAGUAAGAUCCUCGACCCGCCACUCUGAAUACCUCUGGAACAAGUGUUAGAAAAUACAAAUACACCACAACAAGAACGAUAUAAUAAAUACGAUAAUUAUACAAUAACUCAAUACAUAUUUAUCAACAGAGUUAAUAAGAAUUAACCAACAAGAGUACACAUAUCUUAACACAGUAUACACUAAGGACUUGUCAUGACUGCAGUGAAAGAAAUUAAACAACAUCUUUACGAGUCCACAACGGCACCACAAUUCCUCAAAUAUGUAAUAGAGCAUACACAAUGCUCACUGAAGCAUACACAAUGCCCCAGAUAUAAAUAUCAAGAAGAAUACACAAUACUCGGGUGAUGUACAAAGGCAUACACAAUGCCCCAACAUCAUGGCUCACAGCCGUAUCAAACUCAAUACCAUGGCUCACAACCGUAUCAAACUAUCAAACUCAACAUCAUGGCGCACAGCCGUAUCAAACUCAACACCGUGGCUCACAACCGUAUCAAACUAUCAAACUCAACAUCAUGGCUCACAGCCGUAUCAAACUCAACACCAUGGCUCAUAGCCGUAUCAAACUCAACAUCAUGGCGCACAACCGUAUCAAACUCAACACCAUGGCUCACAGCCGUAUCAAACUAUCAAACUCAACAUUAUGGCGCACAGCCAUAUCAAACUCAACAUCAUGGCUCACAUCCGUAUCAAACAAUCAAACUCAACAUCAUGUUUCACAGCCGUAUCAAACUAUCAAACAAAUUAUAAAAUAGUUUUUUUUUUUGUAUUUUUCAUUAAAUAAUAUAUUUGCGGCUAGUCGAAGACCACCGAUUCUGCCAAGUGCACGCUUGUCCCAAUGCAUGGACCAAGCAGAGAAAAUACAUUUUCAAAACGGGUUUUAGAAAAGCAAGCAUCAAAGCUUAAAGUCUCACUUACCUCGCUAGCGGGAAGUUCUCCAGCCUUGCAACGUCUAGAACACCAACCAAACGGUCUCUAAUGGCAUCAAUCUAUCCAAAAUAUUGAAUAACACAUCCUAAUUAGUCUACGUGGAUAAUUUUCAUAAUCUGAGGACAAGUCAAAAUCAAAGUCAAUGCCCGGUCUAAUUAAUAACUAAUUUGUACACAAACAAGGUCAAUUAGUAGUACUUCGAAAAGUACCGAAACAGUAGCUUCAGAUGAACUUAUACCCUAUAAUUAUUUCACUUUAUUAUUGCAUCAUCAUAACUUGCAAUCACUACACCAUAAUCGAUUCUUAUAUGUCACGUACUGUAGCAGUGUAAAGUAACGAAAUAACUGAGGCCUUGUUUACAAACCUUCAAUAUUAUAACAAAUCUUUAGAGACUCAAUCAUUACUUCAUCAUUGUCGCAUCGUCAUUAUUAGCUUACAUUGAAGAAAGAAUAGAAAUUUGAAUCUGUAUACACUAGAAUUGCAUUCUAUAGCAGUAACUUUCAAUAAUACUAAUCAUUAUCUCAUUACUAUGCCAUUAUUAUUAUGCCACCAUUAUAAGAAUAUAAAUUAUAACCCCACCACUCUUCUUCAUCAAUAUAAUCUAUACUAUUGUAGGGGUUUAGAUAUAUUACCUGUAUGCUUGAAGUUUUCCACAAAAUUCCACACAGAGUUAGGCUUAGAUUUUCCCACAGAUGUGCCGUCACGGUGCCCUCCUUGUUCUUCCCU
Molecule: long non-coding RNA, 1915 nt
Filed under: Nicotiana tabacum (common tobacco)
Lineage: Eukaryota; Viridiplantae; Streptophyta; Magnoliopsida; Solanales; Solanaceae
Description: long non-coding RNA (NTAB_LNC011474)
Source: RNAcentral